RNAcentral lists this ribosomal RNA (406 nucleotides) under uncultured bacterium. Its description in RNAcentral is "partial 16S ribosomal RNA". It matches the Rfam family "Bacterial small subunit ribosomal RNA", at positions 30 to 526 of the family's 1533-position model. The record is from RNAcentral.
AUUGAACGCUGGCGGCAGGCCUAACACAUGCAAGUCGAACGAGUGGCGGACGGGUGAGUAAUGUCUGGGAAACUGCACGAUGGAGGCGGAUAACUAAUGGAAACGGUAGCUAAUACCGCACAACAUCACCUGUGCCCAGAUGGCUAUUGCUGGUUGGUGGGGUAACGGCUCACCAAGGCGACGAUCCCUAGCUGGUCUGAGAGGAUGACCAGCCACACUGGAACUGAGACACGGUCCAGACUCCUACGGGAGGCAGCAGUGGGGAAUAUUGCACAAUGGGCGCAAGCCUGAUGCAGCCCUGCCGCGUGUAUGAAGAAGGCCUGCGGGUUGUAAAGUACUUUCAGCGGGGAGGCGUUACCCGCAGAAGAAGCACCGGCUAACUCCGUGCCAGCAGCCGCGGUAAUAC